This 110-nucleotide unclassified non-coding RNA is filed under the name Chryseobacterium taeanense. Its description in RNAcentral is "Flavo-1 RNA". The record is from RNAcentral. Lineage: Bacteria; Pseudomonadati; Bacteroidota; Flavobacteriia; Flavobacteriales; Weeksellaceae.
UUUUAGCCCUGAUUGAAGCAUUUGUUUGAGCUCAUUUUUUGUAUUGGGCGGCGCGGCUUCGCCGCGCCGCCCAAUACAAAAAAUAGCGAGUGCGGAAAGCAGGAAAAGCU